RNAcentral lists this ribosomal RNA (490 nucleotides) under uncultured bacterium. RNAcentral describes it as "partial 16S ribosomal RNA". It matches the Rfam family "Bacterial small subunit ribosomal RNA", at positions 30 to 507 of the family's 1533-position model. The record is from RNAcentral.
AUUGAACGCUGGCGGCAGGCCUAACACAUGCAAGUCGAACGGUAACAGGAAGAAGCUUGCUUCUUUGCUGACGAGUGGCGGACGGGUGAGUAAUGUCUGGGAAACUGCCUGAUGGAGGGGGAUAACUACUGGAAACGGUAGCUACUACCUCAUAACGUCGCAAGACCAAAAAGGGGGACCUUCUGGCCUCUUGCCAUCGGAUGUGCCCAGAUGGGGUUAGCUAGUAGGUGGGGUAACGGCUCACCUAGGCGACGAUCCCUAGCUGGUGUGAGAGGAUGACCAGCCACACUGGAACGGAGACACGGCCAAGACUCCUACGGGAGGCAGCAGUGGGGAAUAUUGCACAAUGGGCGGAAGCCUGAUGCAGCCAGGCCGCGUGUAUGAAGAAGGCCUUCGGGUUGUAAAGUACUUUCAGCGGGGAGGAAGGGAGUAAAGUUAAUACCUUUGCUCAUUGACGUUACCCGCAGAAGAAGCACCGGCUAACUCCGUG